This 253-nucleotide ribosomal RNA is filed under the name uncultured bacterium. RNAcentral's name for it is "partial 16S ribosomal RNA". It matches the Rfam family "Bacterial small subunit ribosomal RNA", at positions 524 to 776 of the family's 1533-position model. The record is from RNAcentral.
UACAGAGGGUGCAAGCGUUGUUCGGAAUUACUGGGCGUAAAGCGCGUGUAGGCUGCGAUCUAAGUCAGGUGUGAAAGCCCUCAGCUUAACUGAGGAAGUGCACUUGAUACUGGGUUGCUUGAGUGUCGGAGGGGGUGGCGGAAUUCCCGGUGUAGAGGUGAAAUUCGUAGAUAUCGGGAGGAACACCUGUGGCGAAGGCGGCCACCUGGACGACAACUGACGCUGAGACGCGAAAGCGUGGGUAGCAAACAGG